UAUUCAUUGUCGAAGAACCUAUGAGUAUGAACACAUUUUGUCGUCUGGAAAGUUCAUUGUUCCUAGAAAAGCGAAGAAACAAGAAGAUGCUUACGAGUAUUCGAUGUACGGAAUUUCUUUGAUGCGUGCAAUCACGAACGUCCUUGCGAACACGUUCGUCUUAUUCAACGAGAAAAUGAUGAGAAUGUAAAAUGUAAAAAAACAUCCUCCGUGAAGUAUUCAAAGGUCGGUGUCCUUGGAAAAAAUUCGCUUCCAAAGAGCAAAGUUCCGGAGUUGAUUUGUAUUCUGAAAUUACGUCAGGCUUGGUGACUUAAUCGAGUUUAUGGGGUUUAGCUUGUCCGAGUCGGAACCUUGACAUUAAUUAUGAUGCAUUGUGGAAGUGCAUUCAAAAUAUUUGUACUUCUGCAUUUGAUCAAAUAUUCCCAUCUACCUAAUCACCUCAUCAUUUCGUCGAGUUAUCAACGAAUUUUUGUCCAUCAUUAAGUAGUGAAAAUAACAAUGAUGAGCAUCUAACGACAGUACAGGAUUUUUAUGCAAUACGUUUGUUGAAAGAAAAAACUUACAAGUUGUAUCAAAGGUGGAAAUGGAAAUGUACCAGAACAAAGCAAACGUUGUAGGUAAUUUAGUUAUCCUAAUUCACGUUGACCAGCUUUUUCGGUGAUUACGUUAGACUGACGAAUGUGAUGGUACUGGAAGUUAAUUAUAAUUAACAUGGCUGUUAAAACUACGUUGGAAUUUAUGAGGUAAAUAGAAUUUGGUAACAAGUUGCUCGUCUGAUUACUGUUAUGUACUCAUUGGUUCCAGGGAAGAAAGCUAAAAUUUCUCGCUAAAAAUUAUG
Long non-coding RNA from Planococcus citri (citrus mealybug), 838 nucleotides. RefSeq lists it as uncharacterized. The record is from RefSeq and is a predicted model, not a curated record. Lineage: Eukaryota; Metazoa; Arthropoda; Insecta; Hemiptera; Pseudococcidae. The transcript has 5 exons.